This 341-nucleotide ribosomal RNA is filed under the name Nematoda environmental sample. RNAcentral describes it as "SSU rRNA". It matches the Rfam family "Eukaryotic small subunit ribosomal RNA", at positions 1300 to 1665 of the family's 1831-position model. The record is from RNAcentral. Lineage: Eukaryota; Metazoa; Nematoda.
CGUGGAUCGAUUUGUCUGGUUUAUUCCGAUAACGAGCGAGACUCUAGCCUACUAAAUAGUAACGGAAUUAUUUACUGUUCCGCUUGCUUCUUAGAGGGAUUUUCGGUGUUUAGCCGCACGAGAUUGAGCAAUAACAGGUCUGUGAUGCCCUUAGAUGUCCGGGGCUGCACGCGCGCUACACUGGCGAAAUCAGCGUGCUAUUCCAUUCUCGAAAGGGAUUGGUAAACCCAUGAAAAUUUGCCGUGCUUGGGAUCGGAAAUUGCAAUUAUUUUCCGUGAACGAGGAAUUCCAAGUAAGUGCGAGUCAUCAACUCGCUCUGAAUACGUCCCUGCCCUUUGUAC